GCUCAGGAUGAACGCUAGCGGCAGGCUUAACACAUGCAAGUCGAGGGGCAGCAUGCGGGUUAGCAAUAACCUGUGAUGGCGACCGGCGCAAGGGUGCGUAACGCGUGAGCAACUUGCCCGUUUCAGGGGGAUAACCGGUGGAAACGCCGACUAAUACCCCAUGGUGAUAUCUUAAGGCAUCUUAUGAUAUCUAAAGAGUUUCGGAAACGGAUAGGCUCGCGUGACAUUAGCUGGACGGCGGGGUAACGGCCCACCGUGGCAACGAUGUCUAGGGGUUCUGAGAGGAAGGUCCCCCACACUGGAACUGAGACACGGUCCAGACUCCUACGGGAGGCAGCAGUGAGGAAUAUUGGUCAAUGGUCGGAAGACUGAACCAGCCAAGUAGCGUGAAGGAUGAAGGUUCUAUGGAUUGUAAACUUCUUUUAUACGGGAAUAAAACACACCACGUGUGGUGUCUUGUAUGUACCGUAUGAAUAAGCAUCGGCUAACUCCGUGCCAGCAGCCGCGGUAAUACGGAGGAUGCGAGCGUUAUCCGGAUUUAUUGGGUUUAAAGGGAGCGUAGACGGGAUGUUAAGUCAGUUGUGAAAGGCUGCGGCUCAACCGCAGCACUGCAGUUGAUACUGGUGUCCUUGAGUGCGGUUGAGGUGUGUGGAAUUCGUGGUGUAGCGGUGAAAUGCUUAGAUAUCACGAAGAACUCCCGAUUUGCGAAGGCAGCACACUAACCGGCUACUGACGUUGAGGCUCGAAAGUGUGGGUAUCAAACAGGAUUAGAUACCCUGGUAGUCCACACGGUAAACGAUGAAUACUCGCUGUUGGCGAUAUAUUGUCAGCGGCCAAGCGAAAGCAUUAAGUAUUCCACCUGGGGAGUACGCCGGCAACGGUGAAACUCAAAGGAAUUGACGGGGGCCCGCACAAGCGGAGGAACAUGUGGUUUAAUUCGAUGAUACGCGAGGAACCUUACCCGGGCUUAAAUUGCAGGGGACAGCUCAAGAGAUUGAGCCUUCUUCGGACUCCUGUGAAGGUGCUGCAUGGUUGUCGUCAGCUCGUGCCGUGAGGUGUCGGCUUAAGUGCCAUAACGAGCGCAACCCUUGCCAAUAGUUACUAUCAGGUUAUGCUGAGGACUCUAUUGGGACUGCCAUCGUAAGAUGUGAGGAAGGUGGGGAUGACGUCAAAUCAGCACGGCCCUUACGUCCGGGGCUACACACGUGUUACAAUGGGAGGUACAGAAGGCCGCUACCCGGCGACGGGAUGCCAAUCCCCAAAACCUCUCUCAGUUCGGAUUGGAGUCUGCAACCCGACUCCAUGAAGCUGGAUUCGAUAGUAAUCGCGCAUCAGCCACGGCGCGGUGAAUACG
This 1354-nucleotide ribosomal RNA is filed under the name uncultured bacterium. RNAcentral describes it as "bacterial SSU rRNA". It matches the Rfam family "Bacterial small subunit ribosomal RNA", at positions 22 to 1370 of the family's 1533-position model. The record is from RNAcentral.